GUGCCAGUCCGUGCGUGCGCUUUUACCUAAUAAUAUUUCCACGGCCGGAGAGAGUUCCGUUCUCUUUCUCUCUCUCUCUCUCUCUCUUCUCUCUUCUCUCUUUCAUCCGAUAUACGCAUCUCGCGCGCUCUCUCUCUCUCUCUCUCUCUCUCUUCGCAUCCGUUUCUAUGUGUAUGUAUAUACAUAUCUUUCUCGCUCUCUCCCUCUUAGGGUUAGGCGUCCUCGCGUAGAAGGCUUUUCGCAUCGCGACCACCCUCCACCGCCCCGGAUCCGACGGGGAUUUCACGAAAGCGAGAGAGGAGAGGAAUCACACGCUGCAGAGCAGCACGUGUGCCGCACUCGCGCGGAUCGGCACAAGCGCGGUUGGUUAUAAUCAUCGUUCUUUUCCUCGCACCGCUUUCGCUCAUAAGUCGAACGCGAAAUUAGUCGCGCUCGAGAGGCUGACUGGACCGUCAAAUCCAAGAUAAAUCCGAGAGGUUAUUAACUCAUCAUAGCCAAUAGCCGCGAAAGUGAGAGGGGUGUUUUUUCGCGAGCGAGCCGAUUUGAACGGAUAGAUCGAUCCCCGCGAGUCGAAUCGAAGUGUUCGAUCCGGAGAGAGUGACGUAACCACCAACUCGCGGUUCGCGCUCGGCAACCUGUGCUUGUAGUAUAUGCGGGGUGCGACGAAAAACGAGACCAGCCAAAGGAUUCGCAGUGGUGCUUUCGCGGAACGAGGACGUCGGAGGGAGGACGGACACCGUCGGCCGUCGGCAGAUCUUGUGAACGGAAGUGUUCAAAGGCCCGAAGAUUCUGCCUUCGCAGCAGCUGGGCGCUGCGGUCGCUCCAUGGCCGGGCGCCACCGGCCUCAUAGCCUCCGUCACUGCUGACGAUAUGGCACACAAAGGACACAGCGGGGUGAACCAACUGGGUGGUGUCUUCGUCGGAGGCCGGCCACUUCCGGACUCGACGCGGCAAAAGAUCGUCGAGCUCGCACAUUCGGGUGCCCGACCGUGCGAUAUCUCCAGGAUACUGCAGGUCAGCAACGGCUGCGUCUCGAAGAUCUUGGGCAGGUACUAUGAGACCGGAUCUAUAAGGCCCAGGGCCAUCGGCGGUAGCAAACCGCGUGUGGCGACGGCGGAGGUCGUCAACAAGAUCUCGCUCUACAAAAGCGAGUGCCCGUCGAUCUUUGCGUGGGAGAUUCGAGAUCGCUUGCUGCAGGAGGGCGUGUGCACGAACGACAACAUUCCGAGCGUGUCCUCGAUCAACAGGGUACUGAGAAAUCUGGCUGCGCAAAAGGAACAGAGGCAGCAGCAGCAACAGCAACAGCAAGGGGUGGGCGCCGUGGGGGUUGGCGUCGGUGCCGGCAGUCCGGCGGAAAGCGUUUACGAUAAACUCAGGCUAUUAAACGGACAGACCACCGGCUGGCCGCGUCCCAAUCCCUGGUAUCCGUCGAGUGCGGGAAGCCCUUUUUCGUCGAUACAAUCUAGUUUGAGUCCGAGCCAUUGUUCAUCCCUGCCACCAGAUCCAGCAGACAUAUUGCAUGCGAAGAAGGUAACCGAGCUCGAGGGUGGCGCGCAUUCGGACGAGACGAACAGCGGAGGUGACAACAGUAACGCCGGCAGCGUGUCAGGCGGCGCCGACGACGAUCAGGCGCGUCUACGCCUGAAGAGGAAGCUGCAGAGGAAUCGUACGAGCUUCAGCAACGAGCAAAUCGACGCGCUCGAGAAGGAGUUCGAGAGGACGCACUAUCCGGACGUGUUCGCCAGAGAGAGACUCGCCGGCAAGAUCGGCCUACCGGAGGCGCGAAUCCAGGUCUGGUUUUCGAAUCGGCGGGCAAAGUGGCGGCGCGAGGAGAAAUUACGCACGCAACGGAGGGAUAAUCCGCCACCGCAGCAGCAGCAACAGCAGCAGCAACAGCAACAGCAACACACUGCCGGGGUUAGUCUGGUGGGUGCUGGUCACCCGACGCCGCCACCACCCUCGGGAAUACUCGGAGGCCAGCCACCACCGCAGGCACCACCCUCGCCCCCCAGAAUACACCAUGGAUUCGCGCCCACCGCUGUAUAUCCCGGAAUACCCAGCAUGCCCGACUCAUACAGUAAAAGAGGAAACGAUCGCGUUGAUGCAUCGCGUCAUGUCAUUCCUUUUUGGCAUUACAGUCCAAUGACGUCGAUGCCGAGCUUUACGAUGUCUGGUGCCAGUCAGCAGAAUCAGCACACGACGAGCAGCAUGUCUUCGCUGUCCACCGGGGGUGGUAUGAGCCCAAUGGGCAUGACCGUGGGCAUGACCGUCGGACCGAGUCCCGGUGCGUGCCUCCAGCAACGGGAUAACGGCUACUCGUGCGGGGUCGCGAGACCACCGAGCUACGAGCCUCUUCAUCUAGGCUACGGCGCCAGGCCCACUUGCAGCCCCACGCAGCCCUAUCACGCGGCGGGCCUCAAUCAGUACAAUCAGAACGCCAGCUCGACCGGUGAGUGUCUACCGCACUCACUGCAUUCGCUGCUUGCACUCUAGCCGAUGGACUACUACUACGGCUACCAUGGAUAACACGCUAUCGAGCCCGCCGGUCUAAUAUCGCCGGGCGUGAGUGUGCCGAUCGCGGUACCAGGUCAACCGGCGCCCGACAUGGCGGCGCAAUAUUGGUCACCGAGGCUGCAGUGACCGUGGUGGUCAUCGACGUCGACCUCGUCUCCGUAGACUUGAGCUUCUUCGUCUAUCUAGUUUACGUUACCGAAAAAGAACGGCACACACGGUUACGCUUGAUCGUGGCGCGAAGUCUCCGCACUUUAUGAUGUUGAUUGUUUGUGCGUGCGACUCUGUCUCGUAGCAAAAAUCAAAGUGAUCUAUCACACCCGUGCGUUUCGUUUAAGCCAAAGCUCUGCAUGGAAACGAGUUUGAUUUGUCCGUGUUCGCGUCCGCUGCUUCCGUUUCUGUAAGGCAAUGAAUGCGUCAUGAACAUCAUUUCACACACACAGAAACUUUUCCCCAAAGAGACAACAUUGUCCAUGAAUUCGUUUACUUGUGUGAGAAAAUCAUCCGAGGCACAAAAGAAUCUGUUCUAUCUGAGAUCUGAAUAAAUAUUCGUCGAGGAUAAAAAAUUAAAUUUUUAACUAAAUGAUCGAAUCUAUUUAUGUAUUGAUAAUAAAUCGAUGUAGUAAUUGUAUAAUUGCAAUACAAAUGUGACACAUGCCGAAUUGGGUUACAAUAGGCGGAUCAAUCAAUUUCUGUGUAUGAUGGUGUGAAUCUUAUUCAUCGUUAAAAUUAAAUUUCUAAUAUCCUGUAUUAAAAAUUAAUAUUUACAUUUAUAAUUAACAUCUUCCCGAUCAAGUCCCUUUAUAAUUUUUAGGUAAAUAAUAAUACUGCUUUUUCGCACUUUCACUAACAAUGUUAAUAAUGUACACGCAAAGAGAUAUUUCUUUAUUUCGAGAUGCUUUAUCAAAAUCCAAUGACUCGUAAGAACGUACGAUCUUUGUAAGACAUAUGUCAAAUAAUUCGCGGUAAUUUUUUUAUAUGAUAUAUCACAAUAUCAAUGAUCGGCAAGGUGUUAUAUGGAAAAUCUUCCAAAAUAUACAUCUACGUAUAUGCACACUUUUAUAAUUACACAGCUUCAUUUUAUUCGUAUACGAUUAUACUUCCAAUAUCUUGGAAAUAGAAUCGGGCAAGAUGAGACGCGGUGAAAAAAAAAAAUAAAUCAUCGGCAAUGUGCAACUCGUGUAAAAAUAAUUAGCGUGAAAAUCAGAGAGGAAAAAGAAAGAAAAUCGCUCUCGAGAAUUCUCGCUGUUUUUAUUCGCAACGUUUCGUAGAUGUAAUUCUUGUAGGCGAGAGAAAGGGAAAUAAAAAUAGUUUCUAAGUCGGUAUUAUGUUAUUAUUUAUACUCGUAUAAAACAGAGCGGAGAGAGACAGGAGAUAAUAAACGUGAGUUUGUUGUGUGUACAUCGUAAGAAUAUCUCGAUCCAGUCAUUUAUAUAUAAAUAUAUACAUAGUUGACUCUAUAAUUCUCUAAAUACAUUUAAAAUCAAUUCGUAAUUUAUAUCCGGUGCAAGGUUCGUGAGAAAAGGGAGAGAGAGAGAGAGAGAGAGAGAGAGAGAAAGAGAAGAACCGAUUGUGAUUUCCCUUAGGCCAGAUAUGUUAAGCGUACGAUUAUGCAUUCUAAAUAAAUAGUGUGUACAUUUAAUCGAGAGUUCUCUCGAUGCUUGUUUUCUAAUCGGAGAAUCCGUUUGCGAGAUUUUAGCGUAUACAUUCGUCCUUAAUAUAUCAAAUAUUAAUUGCCGAGAGUGUAAAGCAACCAUGUAUCUAAUACUGGAUAUCAAUUGAUCAAGAUAAGUAACGAUCGUGUGAUUUCCUAUUAGAAAUCAAGCGCAAUUCUUUUCCGGACGUGUUCAUCUCGAUUCGAUAAUUCAUAUGUAUCUCAAUGCCGUUUCGUUAAUCCUCCUAAUAAUCGAUAAUCAAUAAAGAUAUCAAUGAUCCCUCCUGCAUCGUCCAAAUCGAAACAAUUGAACCAAUUAUAAGAGAUAAAGGAAAGCGGAAUGUGUGCAAGCAGAAAGAGACCAUCGUUUUACCUUGCAAAUGUAACAAUUGUAUAUUUAUUUCGACUUAAUAAUUAAUUUACAUUCGAAGACAUGUGUAUUUCCUAAAUCCUCAUUAGAAACUAUCUCAAUUGCGAUAUAGAUCUGCUGGCGCGAUUAACCCUGGAUUAUUUCUACAAAUAAAAAAAAGAAAACACUCGUGGGUAAGAUUAAAUUAGCACUGAUAUGACAAAGUUGUGCUUUGAUUAUAAUCAAUUAAUUAUAAUAUAAAAUCGACAAAAAAAUUAUAAAAAUGUGCAUAUUUAAUUCUUUUUUUGGACUUAUUUAAAAAGUUAUACUUUAUAAUAUAUUAAUGCACUAUUUAAUAAUAAGAGAAGUAAUACCAGAGUUAUAUAAAGCCCA
Cataglyphis hispanica is the source of this 4907-nucleotide RNA transcript. It is a transcript of the gene named paired box protein Pax-6-like, with no coding region annotated. NCBI's taxonomy places the organism in Eukaryota, Metazoa, Arthropoda, Insecta, Hymenoptera, Formicidae. The transcript has 10 exons. The record is from RefSeq and is a predicted model, not a curated record.